Long non-coding RNA from Dromiciops gliroides (monito del monte), 2398 nucleotides. RefSeq lists it as uncharacterized. The transcript is spliced from 2 exons. Lineage: Eukaryota; Metazoa; Chordata; Mammalia; Microbiotheria; Microbiotheriidae. The record is from RefSeq and is a predicted model, not a curated record.
CUGGCACCCGAGCGGUUGGCGGGGCGGGGCAAUUUCCCGAGGGCCGGCUUCGAGAAAACUCUUCUGCGUCUCUGUCCCUCCCCUGACCCAAGGAAAAGGAUUCUCCUCUCAGAAAAAUAGCAUCUGCUGGACCAAGCUCUACCCCGUUUCUGCCUCUGGGGAGCAUCACGGGGAUAGGUUUGCUGGAGUGUGUGAAUCGGAGUAGCCUCCACCCCACCACACUACCUAGUGCAAGGGAACAGACAGAAGACUGGGAGGCGUUGAGGGAACAGAAGAAACCCUCACUCUCGUUUCCAGUCUCUGACCCCUGGGCAUCUCUCGGCUCUUAAAUGUACUUUGAUGUUGAAGCCACUGAAGCUGUGCACGCACCCUCAGCACUGCUCUGACUUAAACCAGCCGAAUCCCAAGUCAGCACCUGAAGUCCUUGCUGCCUCCUCCCGUUAGAACUCGGCAUCGUCAGCCUUUUCCCGUUCAUUGUUCUCCCUCUGGGCGACAAUCUGCCUGCAUCGACUAUGGAAGCCCUGACCCAAGAAGGUAAUCUGUGUUUCUCAGCCCUCCCCACCUUCAGCCUGGCCUGGGCUUCCACCACUCUCACUGCUGCACCUGGAGCAACUGUCCAGCCCAAGAAGUCAGGUAGGUAACAAUGCCCAGCGUCCUGUUGCCUAGCAAUGGUGGAUGCAGUCCUUGACUACAGUGGGGAGAUGGGAAAAGGAGAGGAGGAAACUGGUGUAUGUGAGGCAGUAUAAGAAAGUGGGGAAGUGGGGCUGCUGUGUUCUGGAGGGCUGGAUUGCUCUCUCAGAGAACAAGGAAAGGGAAGGGGGAAGCUGCCUUGAAUCUUUGUUUGGAGAAGGGGGUAGGGAUUCCUUGUCCCCAUUCCUACCGGAAGGGGACAUUUCAGACCACUCUUCUUCAUUAAGCUAUAGGAGACUCAAAAAGCCCAAUAAAAACCUAACCACCACCUUGACCCCAGACACAAGGUGUCCCCCUUUCCUAUUCCCUGGACACAGUCUCCAGGUGUGGUUAAGACAGACAUCAGAUCAUUGUAUUCCCAAGGGGCCAAGGAGCCAGUGUCUUCCAAGAAUUCCUCCCCUUCCCUAGGGAAUUCUCCUCCUCACCUAACCUCCACCUUGUUGUCUAGGUGUGGAUGCCUGAACUAGUUUCCUGGGGACCAUGCACUUGUCCCCUUCCCCCAUGAGACCUUUCCAGAUUCCUACAUCUCUAAGUGCCCUCUCAAUUCUGAAAUUGUAAUUACUGAUCUGUUCAUAGUGAUGGCUAAUGCUCAGUCAAUACUUGUCCCUUCAGUAGAAUACUGUCUGCAUAAACUUCUUGAGGGCAGGAACUGUUGGGGUUACCCCCCCCCCAGUCUGUGAUUUCUUGAAGGUGGGGAAAUCCCAGGGAGGGAAAUCCUUUCCUCUGCAAAGUAUAAUCUUAAAGAGCUACCUCAGAAACAGGUUAAAUGAUUUGGCCAGGGUCAUGCAGCCAAUAUGUCAGAAGUGGGGGGAGGGUUUGAACCCAGGUCUUCCUGACUCCAAGGCCAGUUCUCUCUCUCCAUUGGGCCACACUUCCUUUUAUAUAGUAGGUGUUUAAUAAACGUUUGUCGAAUUGGAUUGAAAUGGAAGAGAACAGGGCAAGCCCUAUGGAGCUGCUCCCUCCAAUCAGAGAUUUCUCUCACUGCCAGAUUCUACUAUUAGGAAUUCAUUCCUUUGGAUUCAACAUUACCUUCUCUCGAUCCCACAAUCUCAUACUUCAGAGUGAAUGAAAUGAUCAGACUCUUUUAUCUAGAUAGGUGAGGGCAGGGCAUGGGAGAGAGGUAGCAGACAUGUUAAAGGAUGCUCAAAGGGAGAUGGGGAGGGGAGGGCACAGGAAGGGAAGGUAGGUAGGGGUCUCUGUGACUUUAUCCUGGUCAAAUGAGUUCCCCUGUCUGGGCCUCAGUAUUCUCCUCUGGUUGUGUCUUCAGGGACUCUUCUCAGCUCUACUCCAUAGAAAUCUUCUCUUCCUUCAAGACUUAGUUCGAGCAUAAUCUUCUCCGUGAAGCCUUUCCUGCUUUUCCCAACUGCUAGAGUCCCCUGCCCCACACCACCUAGCAUUUGUCUGUAUGUAUUCCCUUUAUGUUUGUUCUGUAUACACUUCUAUAUGCACUUGUUUUCUCCCUCCCACCUCCACACACAUCCUAGAACGUAAGCUCCCCAAGAGUCUGUGGGGUUUUUUAAACAUUUUUUUGUGUCCCUAGUGCCUAGCACUGUGUUGGGCCCAUAGCUGGAACAUGAAUGCUUGCUGAUUAAAUGAUCCCUAAUGUUCCUUCUGGAACUGAUCUUCUAUAAUGAAGUGGCUAAAAACUAAUCUCCCCCCUUCAAAAUAAAAGCCAGUCCCCACAUAUGGGGGAACAACUGAACGCUCA